GGGCAGUUAGUUCAGUGGUAGAAUGCCUGCUUCACACGCAGGAGGUCGCUGGUUCGAUCCCAGCACUGCCCA
This 72-nucleotide transfer RNA is filed under the name candidate division WOR-1 bacterium RIFOXYA12_FULL_43_27. RNAcentral describes it as "tRNA-Val". It matches the Rfam family "tRNA". Rfam says of the family: Transfer RNA (tRNA) molecules are approximately 80 nucleotides in length. RNAcentral also lists the same sequence under 3 other names. The record is from RNAcentral. Lineage: Bacteria; Bacillati.